UGUGGAGGAAAAGAAACUAACCAGGAUUCCCUCAGUAGCGGCGAGCGAACAGGGAAUAGCCCAGCACUGAAUCCCGCCGUUGUCACGGCGGCGGGAGAUGUGGUGUUCGGGAGGUUCCGCUUUCUCGUCGUCGCCAUCACUCCUGUCCAAGUUCGUCUUGAACGGGGCCGUUUUCCCGUAGAGGGUGCCAGGCCCGUAGCGACGGAGGGCGGCGGCGAGAGGGACUCUCCUCAGAGUCGGGUUGCUUGAGAGUGCAGCCCUAAGUGGGUGGUAAACUCCAUCUAAGGCUAAAUAUUACCGCGAGACCGAUAGCGAACAAGUACCGUAAGGGAA
This 333-nucleotide ribosomal RNA is filed under the name Bupalus piniaria (bordered white moth). RNAcentral describes it as "eukaryotic LSU rRNA". It matches the Rfam family "Eukaryotic large subunit ribosomal RNA", at positions 49 to 361 of the family's 3401-position model. The record is from RNAcentral. Lineage: Eukaryota; Metazoa; Arthropoda; Insecta; Lepidoptera; Geometridae.